UACGUAGGAUGCAAGCGUUGUCCGGAAUUAUUGGGCGUAAAGCGCACGUAGGCGGUUUCUUAAGUUUGGUCUUAAAGACCGGGGCUCAACCCCGGGAAUGGACUGAAAACUGGGAGACUGGAGGAUGUCAGAGGAAAGUGGAAUUCCGAGUGUAGCGGUGAAAUGCGUAGAUAUUCGGAGGAACACCAGUGGCGAAAGCGACUUUCUGGGGCAUUCCUGACGCUGAGGUUCGAAAGCUCGGGGAGCAAACAGG
Molecule: ribosomal RNA, 253 nt
Filed under: uncultured bacterium
Lineage: Bacteria
Description: partial 16S ribosomal RNA
Rfam family: Bacterial small subunit ribosomal RNA
Source: RNAcentral